Molecule: microRNA precursor, 74 nt
Filed under: Nomascus leucogenys (northern white-cheeked gibbon)
Lineage: Eukaryota; Metazoa; Chordata; Mammalia; Primates; Hylobatidae
Description: miRNA (ENSNLEG00000035024.1)
Source: RNAcentral
GGUUGCUGCAAAAGUAAUUGCGGUUUUUGCCAUUUAAAGAAAUGGCAAAACCCACAAUUACUUUUGCACCAAUC